Molecule: long non-coding RNA, 555 nt
Filed under: Salvia miltiorrhiza (redroot sage)
Lineage: Eukaryota; Viridiplantae; Streptophyta; Magnoliopsida; Lamiales; Lamiaceae
Description: long non-coding RNA (SMIL_LNC009137)
Source: RNAcentral
CCUCCAACCAAAUAUUGGGCAUUUUCUCCACAAAUCCAUGUUUACAUGCAAAAUCUAAAUUGAUAAACUCAUCGUCAUACAUAUCCCCACCACGCUUAUCCAAUUCUAAAUCUAUGAUAUAAAUUGCAUGCUCACACCCCAAAUCCAAAACGGCACACACCCUUUGCAUCAGUUGGCUCAUCAUAUUUAUCUCUCUAGGCCAAUGCGUGUAGAAGAAGACGGCGGAAACGGAAGCGAACGAGUAAACGGAUGCAUAGGCCGAAAGCAUGAAGAAGAAGACGGCGAAGGCGAACGAGUAAACGGAUGCAUAGGCCGAAAGCGUGAAGAAGAAGACGGCGGAAUUGAAGGCGAACGAUUAAACGGAUGCAUCGUAAAAAGGCUUUUUAGUGGCUGAGGGUGAGACAGAGGAAAGGGACGGUGAUGGUGGUGGGUGGUUGCGGCGGACAAGAGGGAGAGAGAGACGGCUUUGUGAAAAAUAAAACUUAAGAAGCAAGUAAAUUAGGGUUCUGCUUUUUAUUAGUCACUCAAAUCCCUGACCUAUUGGUUGAAAGAUAA